CGUAGGAUCCGAGCGUUGUCCGGAUUUACUGGGUGUAAAGGGUGCGCAGGCGGACUGGUAAGUCAGAGGUGAAAUCUCGUCGCUCAACGACGAAACUGCCUUUGAUACUAUCAGUCUUGAAUCCGGUAGAGAUCUGUGGAAUUCCGAGUGUAGCAAUGAAAUGUGUAGAUAUUCGGAAGAACACCAGUGGCGAAGGCAGCAGAUUGGGCCGGUAUUGACGCUCAGGCACGAAAGCAUGGGGAUCAAACAGGAUUAGAGACCCUGGUAGUCCAUGCCCUAAACGAUGUUCACUUGAUGUCUGCCCUCAGGGUAGGUGUCGAAGCUAACGCGAUAAGUGAACCACCUGGGGAGUACGCUCGCAAGGGUG
RNAcentral lists this ribosomal RNA (367 nucleotides) under uncultured organism. RNAcentral describes it as "bacterial SSU rRNA". It matches the Rfam family "Bacterial small subunit ribosomal RNA", at positions 526 to 896 of the family's 1533-position model. The record is from RNAcentral.